Molecule: ribosomal RNA, 216 nt
Filed under: uncultured bacterium
Lineage: Bacteria
Description: partial 16S ribosomal RNA
Rfam family: Bacterial small subunit ribosomal RNA
Source: RNAcentral
AAUCUCAGUUCAGAUUGCAGGCUGCAACUCGCCUGCAUGAAGUCGGAAUUGCUAGUAAUGGCAGGUCAGCAUACUGCCGUGAAUACGUUCCCGGGCCUUGUACACACCGCCCGUCACACCAUGAGAGUUGGAGAUACCCGAAGCCUAUGAGCUAACUUUUAGAGGCAGUAGUCGAAGGUAGAAUCAAUGAUUGGGGUGAAGUCGUAACAAGGUAAC